Molecule: long non-coding RNA, 430 nt
Filed under: Taeniopygia guttata (zebra finch)
Lineage: Eukaryota; Metazoa; Chordata; Aves; Passeriformes; Estrildidae
Description: lncRNA (ENSTGUG00000023251.1)
Source: RNAcentral
AUGCUGCCAAAAAAUAAAGGCUUCAAAAGAGAAGAGACAAAUAGAGAGCCUUGUACCCAUGCAGUUGGCUGUCUUCUUUUGUAUACACUGGCUACACAAAAUGGGAAAUUCUGCCUUUGCUUCAGCAUAUUUCCUCCACAGUGGCAGGUGAGUGGUUUGGAGAGCCCUGGAGAAGGCACUGGACUGAGGAGCACCAUUUUUACUCAUGGACAUCACGACAGUCACAUGAAAUCUGCAGUUACAGUGUUUAGUAAUCUGCACGAGUUGGACUGACCUUGGCUGGAUAUCUGGUGCCCACCAAGAUGCUUUAUCAUUCCCCCUUUCUCGGUGUGACAGCGGAGAAAAACAAUGAUUAAAGGCUGGUGGGCGAGGUAAGGACAAAAAUAUCCCUCACACAUCACCAGCAUGGACAAGAUAGACAGCUCUGGGG